Molecule: transfer RNA, 59 nt
Filed under: Nitrospinaceae bacterium
Lineage: Bacteria; Pseudomonadati; Nitrospinota; Nitrospinia; Nitrospinales; Nitrospinaceae
Description: tRNA-Pro
Rfam family: tRNA
About the family: Transfer RNA (tRNA) molecules are approximately 80 nucleotides in length. Their secondary structure includes four short double-helical elements and three loops (D, anti-codon, and T loops). Further hydrogen bonds mediate the characteristic L-shaped molecular structure. tRNAs have two regions of fundamental functional importance: the anti-codon, which is responsible for specific mRNA codon recognition, and the 3' end, to which the tRNAs corresponding amino acid is attached (by aminoacyl-tRNA synthetases). tRNAs cope with the degeneracy of the genetic code in two manners: having more than one tRNA (with a specific anti-codon) for a particular amino acid; and 'wobble' base-pairing, i.e. permitting non-standard base-pairing at the 3rd anti-codon position.
Source: RNAcentral
GGCGCAGUCUGGUAGCGCACUUGACUGGGGGUCAAGGGGUCGGAGGUUCAAAUCCUCUC